RNAcentral lists this ribosomal RNA (274 nucleotides) under uncultured bacterium. RNAcentral's name for it is "partial 16S ribosomal RNA". It matches the Rfam family "Bacterial small subunit ribosomal RNA", at positions 523 to 796 of the family's 1533-position model. The record is from RNAcentral.
AUACAGAGGGUGCGAGCGUUAAUCGGAAUUACUGGGCGUAAAGCGCGCGUAGGUGGAUAUUUAAGUCGGAUGUGAAAUCCCUGGGCUCAACCUAGGAAUUGCAUUCGAUACUGGAUAUCUUGAGUAUAGUAGAGGGAAGUGGAAUUUCCGGUGUAGCGGUGAAAUGCGUAGAUAUCGGAAGGAACAUCAGUGGCGAAGGCGACUUCCUGGACUAAUACUGACGCUGAGGAGCGAAAGCGUGGGGAGCAAACGGGAUUAGAAACCCCAGUAGUCC